GCCGGGCGGAAUGGCGCAUGCCUGUAAUCCCAGUGGGUUGGGAGGCUGAGUCAGGAGGAUUGCAAGUUCAAAGCCAGCCUCAGCAACAGUGAGGCACUUAGCCACUCAGCAAGACCCUGUCUCUA
Molecule: small RNA, 125 nt
Filed under: Marmota monax (woodchuck)
Lineage: Eukaryota; Metazoa; Chordata; Mammalia; Rodentia; Sciuridae
Source: RNAcentral